Dreissena polymorpha is the source of this 626-nucleotide long non-coding RNA. RefSeq lists it as uncharacterized. Lineage: Eukaryota; Metazoa; Mollusca; Bivalvia; Myida; Dreissenidae. The record is from RefSeq and is a predicted model, not a curated record. The transcript is spliced from 3 exons.
CAGCUGACAAGUCACGUGGUACAUGGUACCGUCAUUUUUGGCAUAGAAAUUACAUUAUUUCUAAAGAAAGAGAUUUAGCUUGUUGAGCAAAUAAUUAAUUUUCAUUGAAUAUUUUUGAUCAACCAAUAAAAUAUACUUCAUAUUUAAAUCAAUAUUUUUAUUGGAAAAUCACUUUUCACAAAUAUGAAUAUGCGGUCGAAAACUGAAAGCCAUCAGAAUUCAAGAUGGUUCAGACAAAAACAAGUGCUAGCGCUAAGAAAAGACUAAAAAAACAAGAGAUGCAAGGUACAGGUGUAUUAAAAGGGAAAGGUUACUAGACAUUGGUAUUCAGUGUGAUCGAUGGAGAAGAGUUAAAGAAGCUACUGGGAUUUAAAAGGACGAGAAAAUGAUGGAAAUAUUGAUCGAUGCAACUACAGUCUACUUCUGAACUAGAGAGCUUCAACAAUCAUCUUUUGAUGUAUGCUCCAAAGCGAAAUGCUUUCAGCUAUGCUGUUUAUAGAUGCAGGUGUCAGUUAGCAGCAAUAGAUUAUUCAAAACACUUGAAUCGUCCUGUUUUGUUGGACCAAGAAGGAAAUUAGAGGUAUUUAUAUUAUUGUUUUUGCCCUGUAUGUUUGUUUGUUUGUUUG